This 375-nucleotide ribosomal RNA is filed under the name uncultured eukaryote. RNAcentral's name for it is "partial 18S ribosomal RNA". It matches the Rfam family "Eukaryotic small subunit ribosomal RNA", at positions 592 to 976 of the family's 1831-position model. The record is from RNAcentral.
CAAUAGCGUAUAUUUAAGUUGUUGCAGUUAAAAAGCUCGUAGUUGGAUUUCGGUUAAGAGCGACCGGUCCGCCGUUUGGUGUGCACUGGUUGGUUUUAACUUCCUGUAGAGGACGUGCUCUGGGUUUAACGACCUGGACUCGGAGUCUACGUGGUUACUUUGAAAAAAUUAGAGUGUUCAAAGCAGGCUUACGCUUGAAUAUUUCAGCAUGGAAUAACACUAUAGGACUCCUGUCCUAUUUCGUUGGUCUCGGGACGGGAGUAAUGAUUAAGAGGAACAGUUGGGGGCAUUCGUAUUUCAUUGUCAGAGGUGAAAUUCUUGGAUUUAUGAAAGACGAACUUCUGCGAAAGCAUUUGCCAAGGAUGUUUUCAUUAA